UGCUCGAGUGGCGAACGGGUGAGUAACACGUGAGUAACCUGCCCUUGACUUUGGGAUAACUUCAGGAAACUGGGGCUAAUACCGGAUAGGAGCUCCUGCUGCAUGGUGGGGGUUGGAAAGUUUCGGCGGUUGGGGAUGGACUCGCGGCUUAUCAGCUUGCUGGUGGGGUAGUGGCUUACCAAGGCUUUGACGGGUAGCCGGCCUGAGAGGGUGACCGGCCACAUUGGGACUGAGAUACGGCCCAG
RNAcentral lists this ribosomal RNA (245 nucleotides) under uncultured Actinomycetales bacterium. RNAcentral describes it as "partial 16S ribosomal RNA". It matches the Rfam family "Bacterial small subunit ribosomal RNA", at positions 88 to 334 of the family's 1533-position model. The record is from RNAcentral. Lineage: Bacteria; Bacillati; Actinomycetota; Actinomycetes; Actinomycetales.